CGCCUGGGGAGUACGGCCGCAAGGUUAAAACUCAAAUGAAUUGACGGGGGCCCGCACAAGCGGUGGAGCAUGUGGUUUAAUUCGAUGCAACGCGAAGAACCUUACCUGGUCUUGACAUCCACGGAAGAAUUCAGAGAUGGAUUUGUGCCUUCGGGAACCGUGAGACAGGUGCUGCAUGGCUGUCGUCAGCUCGUGUUGUGAAAUGUUGGGUUAAGUCCCGCAACGAGCGCAACCCUUAUCCUUUGUUGCCAGCGGUUAGGCCGGGAACUCAAAGGAGACUGCCAGU
This 286-nucleotide ribosomal RNA is filed under the name Salmonella enterica subsp. enterica serovar Give. Its description in RNAcentral is "partial 16S ribosomal RNA". It matches the Rfam family "Bacterial small subunit ribosomal RNA", at positions 870 to 1156 of the family's 1533-position model. Lineage: Bacteria; Pseudomonadati; Pseudomonadota; Gammaproteobacteria; Enterobacterales; Enterobacteriaceae. The record is from RNAcentral.